GGAAGUGUGCCCGAGAACAGGGACUACUUUGAUAGAGUAAUUACAGAGCAACAAACCUCUCUCUUCC
RNAcentral lists this transfer RNA (67 nucleotides) under Chamaeleo africanus (African chameleon). RNAcentral describes it as "tRNA-Ile". Lineage: Eukaryota; Metazoa; Chordata; Lepidosauria; Squamata; Chamaeleonidae. The record is from RNAcentral.